UUCUUAGUUUUUCUCUGGUAUAUAGAUAACCAUGAAUUCAGGAACAACGACAUCCAUGUUGGUUUUAAUUUUCUCCUUGGUUAUUGCUACAGACAUUUCACUAGUCGCUGAAGCAAGGAAUGUAGCACGGCCAUGCAGCCCGAGUGACCCGUGCCCUCCUCCAUUGAUUUGUAACGGCCUUAACCUUUGCCAACCUCCAACAGGUGCAUAUAAAUAUGGGGGUAACGAUAAAGUCGUGGUCAAGCCACAACAAUUUGAAAAUUUUGUAACCGAGGGUGUUGCAGAUCGAAUUAAUAGCAAUAUUUAGAUGAUUUUAUAUGUCAAGCUGCAAAAAUUUGAAAAUUUUGUAACUGAGGGUGUUGCAGAUCGAAUUAAUUGCAAUAUUUAGAUGAUUA
Molecule: long non-coding RNA, 395 nt
Organism: Ipomoea nil (Japanese morning glory)
Lineage: Eukaryota; Viridiplantae; Streptophyta; Magnoliopsida; Solanales; Convolvulaceae
Exons: 2
Source: RefSeq, a predicted model, not a curated record